This 29-nucleotide non-coding RNA is filed under the name Mus musculus (house mouse). The record is from RNAcentral. Lineage: Eukaryota; Metazoa; Chordata; Mammalia; Rodentia; Muridae. RNAcentral also lists the same sequence under 1 other name.
UGGCUUUCAAAGCAUCUACAUAGCUGACA